ACUGGAGCUGGAAUUGGUUCUGACGGCAGCUGGAUUGUUGUCGUUCUGACUACUAACACACCUGAAGGAAGCUUUGUGACUUACAAUGCAGCCAGCCUGACAACCAAGAUUGGUCCUGUAUCUCGCUUAUUGUUUUUGCUGAUGGCUUCUUUCUUCCUGUUGUAAACUAAAUUUGUGGUUAGCAUUGAUUCUCCUGACUACCAAUUAGUCCUGGAAGGUUAUCAAUUAUAGACCGCCUCCUACUAAUGUCCUGUAGAUCAGUGGGCAAAAAGAAUAAGCGAGAUACAGGACCAAUCUUGGU
Molecule: unclassified non-coding RNA, 301 nt
Filed under: Hevea brasiliensis (rubber tree)
Lineage: Eukaryota; Viridiplantae; Streptophyta; Magnoliopsida; Malpighiales; Euphorbiaceae
Source: RNAcentral